CGUUCCGGCUUGUACACACCGCCCGUCACACCACGAAAGUCGGCAACGCCCGAAGCCAGUGGCCUAACCCUUCGGGAAGGAGCUGUCGAAGGUGGGGUCGGCGAUUGGGGUG
Molecule: ribosomal RNA, 112 nt
Filed under: uncultured bacterium
Lineage: Bacteria
Description: partial 16S ribosomal RNA
Rfam family: Bacterial small subunit ribosomal RNA
Source: RNAcentral